CCUACGGGUGGCAGCAGUGAGGAAUAUUGGUCAAUGGACGCAAGUCUGAACCAGCCAUGCCGCGUGCAGGAAGACGGCUCUAUGAGUUGUAAACUGCUUUUGUACGAGGGUAAACGCAGAUACGCGUAUCUGUCUGAAAGUAUCGUACGAAUAAGGAUCGGCUAACUCCGUGCAAGCAGCCGCGGUAAUACGGAGGAUUCAAGCGUUGUCCGGAUUUAUUGGGUGUAAAGGGUGCGUAGGCGGUCGUAUAAGUUAGAGGUGAAAUCCCGAGGUUCAACUUCGGAAUUGCCUCUGAUACUGUUCGGCUAGAGAGUAGUUGCGGGAGGCGGAAUGUAUGGUGUAGCGGUGAAAUGCUUAGAGAUCAUACAGAACACCGAUGGCGAAGGCAGCUUACCAAGCUACUUCUGACGUUGAGGCACGAAGGCGUGGGGAGCGAACAGGAUUAGAUACCCCGGUAGUC
Molecule: ribosomal RNA, 460 nt
Filed under: uncultured bacterium
Lineage: Bacteria
Description: partial 16S ribosomal RNA
Rfam family: Bacterial small subunit ribosomal RNA
Source: RNAcentral